AUUGAACGCUGGCGGCAUGCCUUACACAUGCAAGUCGAACGGCAGCGCGGGCUUCGGCCUGGCGGCGAGUGGCGGACGGGUGAGUAAUGCAUCGGAACGUGCCCAGGAGUGGGGGAUAACGUAGCGAAAGUUACGCUAAUACCGCAUACGUACUGAGGUAGAAAGCGGGGGAUCGAAAGACCUCGCGCUCAUGGAGCGGCCGAUGUCGGAUUAGCUAGUUGGCGGGGUAAAAGCCCACCAAGGCGACGAUCCGUAGCUGGUCUGAGAGGACGACCAGCCACACUGGGACUGAGACACGGCCCAGACUCCUACGGGAGGCAGCAGUGGGGAAUCUUGGACAAUGGGGGAAACCCUGAUCCAGCAAUGCCGCGUGUGGGAUGAAGGCCCUCGGGUUGUAAACCACUUUUGGCAGGAAAGAAAUCGCCUGUGCUAAUACCACGGGCGGAUGACGGUACCUGCAGAAUAAGCACCGGCUAACUACGUGCCAGCAGCCGCGGUAA
Molecule: ribosomal RNA, 500 nt
Filed under: uncultured bacterium
Lineage: Bacteria
Description: partial 16S ribosomal RNA
Rfam family: Bacterial small subunit ribosomal RNA
Source: RNAcentral